CAUAUGUAUGUGAAACAAACUUCUCAUUCUCAACAAAAAUUUGUGUGCUCAAUAUCAAAGAACAACUUAUAACCAUUUUUAAUCCCAAGAACAUAUAUCCAAAAUUAGAGAAGAGCAUAUAUCCAGCAUCGAUCAAACAUAUAUCCAGCAUAACGGCGAGAUUCGAACCUACUAUAUCAACGUUACAGAGCAUUUGGCGGAGGACAAUACCCAAGGUCCUUUGAGCAUACAUGCAUGCAUGUGUAAUUCGAUGCCAAAGGAUUAAUAUUAUAAAAUGCUAUGAAUGAUCUUCACCAAGUUUUUCCAAUAAUUCCAUUUAAAUCAUUCUUCAGCAAUAGGAUGGAUAUUUUCAACCUUUUACGAACAACUAUUUUUUUAACUGGCACGCAUCAAUCAUUCUACAUUCUCGUAUACAACCAACAAUUUUUUAGGAUGUACUCGACGUAACUUUUACAUUGUAGAUAGAUCUUUAAUUUUAGAAUUCCCUGUAAGUAGAAUUUUUAAUAAAGCAAUCUCGUGAUUAGAGAAAGUAAUUGCACUACCAAGUAUGGAAUCUGAAACAGAACCAGGAAGUUCCAAUUUGGGUGCACUAAUUGCAGCGCCAAUCGGAUCUAUUGUUGUUCUAGUUGCCUUAUGUUAUUGCAUGUACCGUUGCUGCUGCUGUUGUUGCAGAAGAGAUAAACAAGUCAUUGUCGUUAACACCACAAACAUGGUUCAAGCACAACCCGAAAAUCCAUCCGUUGUGAUUGUAAACAACAUGCCACCCACUAGGAGCGAAUUCGACAACCCAGUUUACAAUCUAUCAACUGCUCCACUUUUGACACAAGAAAUGUCAACAGCUUCCGAUUGGCCUGAAAGAAAGUUUUGAUUGCAGUUGCAUCGGAAACAUAUUUGCACAACAAACAAUUUGCACUGUUCAAUUAAAUAGCUUGAUAAUUCUUGA
Long non-coding RNA from Parasteatoda tepidariorum (common house spider), 943 nucleotides. The record is from RefSeq and is a predicted model, not a curated record. Lineage: Eukaryota; Metazoa; Arthropoda; Arachnida; Araneae; Theridiidae.